UACGUAGGGUGCGAGCGUUGUCCGGAAUUAUUGGGCGUAAAGAGCUCGUAGGCGGUUUGUCGCGUCGGCCGUGAAAACUUGGGGCUUAACCCCAAGCUUGCGGUCGAUACGGGCAGACUUGAGUUCGGCAGGGGAGACUGGAGUUCCUGGUGUAGCGGUGAAAUGCGCAGAUAUCAGGAGGAACACCGGUGGCGAAGGCGGGUCUCUGGGCCGAUACUGACGCUGAGGAGCGAAAGCGUGGGGAGCGAACAGG
This 253-nucleotide ribosomal RNA is filed under the name uncultured bacterium. RNAcentral's name for it is "partial 16S ribosomal RNA". It matches the Rfam family "Bacterial small subunit ribosomal RNA", at positions 524 to 776 of the family's 1533-position model. The record is from RNAcentral.